AUGCUUGUGUAUGUUGAUGAUAUUGUGAUUGCUGGCUCCACUCCGGCUGCAGUUGAUCGUUUGGUACGAUCCAUCUCCGACAGUUUUCCUAUCAAGGAUCUUGGUCCUCUACGUUAUUUCUUGGGGCUUGAAGCGUCCUUCAAUUCAGGGGGCAUGACGCUGACUCAAAGAAAGUAUGCACUUGAUCUUCUUCAUCGUGUGAGUAUGGAGAAUUGUAGGCCUACCUCUACACCAUUAUCUGCCACUGAGCACCUGGCUCGUGAGGUCGGCACCCCUUUGGGUGUUGAGGAUGCCACUCGAUAUCGCAGCAUUGUUGGAGGACUUCAGUAUUUAACGCUCACUCGUCCCGACCUGUCCUUUGCAGUCAACAAGGUUUGCCAGUAUCUAUCACAAUCAACUAAUGAGCAUUGGGAAGCUGUCAAGCGUAUAUUGCGUUAUGUCAAAGGGACUUUGAAUACGGGAUUGCAGAUUCAUAAAUCUCCUUCCACUGGUGUCAGUAUUUUCACGAAUGCUGAUUGGGCUGGAUGCAUUGAUGACCGCCGUUCCACUAGUGGUUUUGCUGUGUUUGUUGGCUCCAAUCUUGUCUCAUGGAGUUCCAAGAAACAGCCAACUGUCUUCAGAUCAAGUACGGAGGCGGAGUACAAAGCUUUAGCUAAUGGAGCAGCUGAAGCAAUCUGGGUGGAGAUCUUACUCAAGGAGCUUGGGGUUUUCAAGCAGCGUACCGCCAUUCUGUGGUGUGAUAAUCUUGGGGCUACAUACCUGACGGCAAACCCAGUCUUUCACGCAAGAACCAAGCACAUAGAGAUAGAUUUUCAUUUUGUGCGUGAGCGCGUUGCUUCUGGUGUUUUAGAUGUCAGGUUUAUCUCGACUAAUGACCAACUGGCUGAUGUAUUUACUAAACCGGCCACACGAUAG
RNAcentral lists this ribosomal RNA (915 nucleotides) under Triticum aestivum (bread wheat). RNAcentral's name for it is "partial small subunit ribosomal RNA". Lineage: Eukaryota; Viridiplantae; Streptophyta; Magnoliopsida; Poales; Poaceae. The record is from RNAcentral.